ACAAAGAACACCAUCAUGCCCGAGCUGACAGAUCCAUGGGAGGGAGAGGAUUGAGGAAGUCUAAGAGAGGAAGCUGUUGAAGUACCAGGUAGUGGACGAAUGCACAGACAAGUGUUUACCCGUGGAGGUUGGGGCAAGAGACUUCCCAGGCCAGUCUCAGUGCAAGGCACUAAGUAUCUUCAGAGGAAAGGGAGCACAGAGGAAUAGGAUAUGUUGCACAAUUGGGCAGAAGGCAGAGAGGACAUCACAAUGGGUGUGGCUGAAGAGGGAGGAGCAGUGGUUAAACCAACCUGGCUCAGAUCAGGCCGGACAGUGUAGUGAGAAGCGCCAAAACACCUAAUGAAGAGGGGACCUUACCUGAGGAUGAGCAGCAUACUCGCUGUCUGCAGAUGGAAAAUGGAGAGUAGGGGACCUCCAUUGUGAUGGGAGACAACACAUCUCUGUGGCUUCGAGCUGCAUGUUGCCCCCUAUUUUGGGAGUUUUUGUCUGUGACCUGCCAGAUACCUGAUGGACAUCACAGGGCCAGUCUAGAACUUUGAGAGGAUUCGAUCACAUCCUUCAAAACAACUUCUUACUUAAUAUGCAUUUUAACACAUAUGUAUUGAAUUAGAUUGGUGACUCAUGGCAAUAAAACAAUAUCAUUUUUAAGCCUA
Long non-coding RNA from Oncorhynchus keta (chum salmon), 653 nucleotides. RefSeq lists it as uncharacterized. The transcript is spliced from 2 exons. The record is from RefSeq and is a predicted model, not a curated record. Lineage: Eukaryota; Metazoa; Chordata; Actinopteri; Salmoniformes; Salmonidae.